CCCUUGGAUGUUCUGGGCGGCCCGCGCACUACAAUGGCGCUUUCAGCGAGUUCCUAUGUUGAAUUUUCCUGGGUAUUCUUGGAAGCGGCGUCUUGACUUGGGAUAGAUCCUUGUAAUUGUUGGUUUUGAACGAGGAAUUCCUUGUAAUCGCGGUUGAUCAGCUCGCGUUGAAUACGUCCCUGCCCUUUGUACACACCGCCCGUCGCUCCUACCGAUGAAUCGUCCGGUGAAGUUCACAGAGUGGCGGUUCGUGGAGUUGCUCGCGAAGUGAAAUGGCCCUCACGAUUUAGAGGAAGGAGAAGUCGUAACA
Molecule: ribosomal RNA, 310 nt
Filed under: uncultured eukaryote
Lineage: Eukaryota
Description: partial 18S ribosomal RNA
Rfam family: Eukaryotic small subunit ribosomal RNA
Source: RNAcentral